RNAcentral lists this unclassified non-coding RNA (735 nucleotides) under Hevea brasiliensis (rubber tree). Lineage: Eukaryota; Viridiplantae; Streptophyta; Magnoliopsida; Malpighiales; Euphorbiaceae. The record is from RNAcentral.
AAUGUUGCAAGCAGCUUCUGAAUGGUAUAGAAUUUAUGAAUUGCUGCUUGCUCCUUGCGCUAAUGAACUUGUUUUAUUUGUUUAUUUUUUUGUACAAUUGGCUCCAACACACUUAUUCUAUUUUAAUUGAGAGAUUUAUAGUUGGUGUAGAAGAAAGCUUAGGAAACUGUUGGAUUUAAUGGCCUCUGACUCAUCAUGAUAAAUGGGUGUGCAUUCUCAAAUAAUUUAUAAGUUUAUUGCCUUGAAAUUGUGUAGAAUUCAUGAAAUUCCACCAUGAGAGUUGGGUUCUAUUUUUCUUGUUGGGCUCUUUUCUUCUAUGUUCUUAAUACACUCCCUGAAUGUUUGAAUGUGCCAAUCUUAUAGGGGUUAGUAAUGAAUGUUAUGGUUUCAAUCAUGCAUCCUUAUUGAUUGCGAUAUUUGUACCUUGAUCGAUUUUGCAAAUUGUUUUGUUGGAAGUGAGGGCAACUUAGAUGGGCUGUAGCAUUUUGUGUUCCGUCAUGUUUCUCAAACAUUUGUGUAGUGAAAAUAUCACCUAGUGACCUAGAUAUUUAAAAGCAGCAUCUUACUUAUGUACAAAAUUUUCAUGUGCCCGCUGUUGUAUCUAUAAAGUGAAAAGGAUAAGUUGAAGGAUGUGCUGUGUGUUUUUUAUGAGAUCAAAAGGCCUGAAAACUUUUUUCAGCAAUGAAUUGCUGACAUGAUAUUAUUUUUACAGCCUCGCAUCUUACAUGACAGAUG